UAUAGCAAAGUUAUGCAGCUUCUUUCUGCACUGCGGCCGGGCAAAGUUUUCCCUCAAAUUAUGCAGUUAAUGAAACAAACUCCUGAGUGAAAUACAUAUCGCGUGGGCAUCACGUCGACCUGAAACUGGAUACGCAACGCAGCAGCUGCUUAUUUCACAUGUAAUUUGGCUGGAAGCUAACUUCUCAAAUUGACGGCGGCGCACAAGGUCCUUGCAAUCGCUGCAUUUCAUGUGAUACGUGUAGAGCGAAGCAGCUAUCAAAAUCUUUGCGGGCAACAUCCAUUUGUUUAAGGUGGAUUAACUGGGAAAGGACUUUCCAGCGACAAAGUCUACGCAAAUCCUUCACUUUUACAUAACAACCUUCAAAUAAGGAAAGGAAUCUGAUCUAUGGUGGACGCCAACCAGCUGAUGGACACGGACACGGACACGGACACGGACAUGAACACGGAGACGGACGGAGACGGAGCCGGGUGCAUUGGACGGCGCUCGAUUGGUCCAAGGGAAACUUGCAGCAAUUGCAGUUGUUAUGACAACGAAUUUGUUGUUGCUUUUUUAUUAAUUUUUUGUUGUUUCUGUAAAUAUUAAUUGCACAGA
Molecule: small RNA, 594 nt
Filed under: Drosophila virilis
Lineage: Eukaryota; Metazoa; Arthropoda; Insecta; Diptera; Drosophilidae
Description: GJ26361
Source: RNAcentral